RNAcentral lists this ribosomal RNA (497 nucleotides) under uncultured bacterium. RNAcentral's name for it is "partial 16S ribosomal RNA". It matches the Rfam family "Bacterial small subunit ribosomal RNA", at positions 28 to 507 of the family's 1533-position model. The record is from RNAcentral.
GAUGAACGCUGGCGGCGUGCCUAAUACAUGCAAGUCGAGCGAACAGACGAGGAGCUUGCUCCUCUGACGUUAGCGGCGGACGGGUGAGUAACACGUGGAUAACCUACCUAUAAGACUGGGAUAACUUCGGGAAACCGGAGCUAAUACCGGAUAAUAUAUUGAACAGCAAGGUUCAAUAGUGAAAGACGGUUUUGCUGUCACUUAUAGAUGGAUCCGCGCCGCAUUAGCUAGUUGGUAAGGUAACGGCUUACCAAGGCAACGAUGCGUAGCCGACCUGAGAGGGUGAUCGGCCACACUGGAACUGAGACACGGUCCAGACUCCUACGGGAGGCAGCAGUAGGGAAUCUUCCGCAAUGGGCGAAAGCUUGACGGAGCAACGCCGCGUGAGUGAUGAAGGUCUUCGGAUCGUAAAACUCUGUUAUUAGGGAAGAACAAAUGUGUAAGUAACUAUGCACGUCUUGACGGUACCUAAUCAGAAAGCCACGGCUAACUACGUG